GUUAAGCGACUAAGCGUACACGGUGGAUGCCCUGGCAGUCAGAGGCGAUGAAGGACGUGCUAAUCUGCGAUAAGCGUCGGUAAGGUGAUAUGAACCGUUAUAACCGGCGAUUUCCGAAUGGGGAAACCCAGUGUGAUUCGUCACACUAUCAUUAACUGAAUCCAUAGGUUAAUGAGGCGAACCGGGGGAACUGAAACAUCUAAGUACCCCGAGGAAAAGAAAUCAACCGAGAUUCCCCCAGUAGCGGCGAGCGAACGGGGAGGAGCCCAGAGCCUGAAUCAGUGUGUGUGUUAGUGGAAGCGUCUGGAAAGGCGUGCGAUACAGGGUGACAGCCCCGUACACAAAAAUGCACAUACUGUGAGCUCGAUGAGUAGGGCGGGACACGUGGUAUCCUGUCUGAAUAUGGGGGGACCAUCCUCCAAGGCUAAAUACUCCUGACUGACCGAUAGUGAACCAGUACCGUGAGGGAAAGGCGAAAAGAACCCCGGCGAGGGGAGUGAAAAAGAACCUGAAACCGUGUACGUACAAGCAGUGGGAGCCUCUUAAUGGGGUGACUGCGUACCUUUUGUAUAAUGGGUCAGCGACUUAUAUUCUGUAGCAAGGUUAACCGAAUAGGGGAGCCGAAGGGAAACCGAGUCUUAACUGGGCGUUAAGUUGCAGGGUAUAGACCCGAAACCCGGUGAUCUAGCCAUGGGCAGGUUGAAGGUUGGGUAACACUAACUGGAGGACCGAACCGACUAAUGUUGAAAAAUUAGCGGAUGACUUGUGGCUGGGGGUGAAAGGCCAAUCAAACCGGGAGAUAGCUGGUUCUCCCCGAAAGCUAUUUAGGUAGCGCCUCGUGAAUUCAUCUCCGGGGGUAGAGCACUGUUUCGGCAAGGGGGUCAUCCCGACUUACCAACCCGAUGCAAACUGCGAAUACCGGAGAAUGUUAUCACGGGAGACACACGGCGGGUGCUAACGUCCGUCGUGAAGAGGGAAACAACCCAGACCGCCAGCUAAGGUCCCAAAGUCAUGGUUAAGUGGGAAACGAUGUGGGAAGGCCCAGACAGCCAGGAUGUUGGCUUAGAAGCAGCCAUCAUUUAAAGAAAGCGUAAUAGCUCACUGGUCGAGUCGGCCUGCGCGGAAGAUGUAACGGGGCUAAACCAUGCACCGAAGCUGCGGCAGCGACACUAUGUGUUGUUGGGUAGGGGAGCGUUCUGUAAGCCUGUGAAGGUGUACUGUGAGGUAUGCUGGAGGUAUCAGAAGUGCGAAUGCUGACAUAAGUAACGAUAAAGCGGGUGAAAAGCCCGCUCGCCGGAAGACCAAGGGUUCCUGUCCAACGUUAAUCGGGGCAGGGUGAGUCGACCCCUAAGGCGAGGCCGAAAGGCGUAGUCGAUGGGAAACAGGUUAAUAUUCCUGUACUUGGUGUUACUGCGAAGGGGGGACGGAGAAGGCUAUGUUGGCCGGGCGACGGUUGUCCCGGUUUAAGCGUGUAGGCUGGUUUUCCAGGCAAAUCCGGAAAAUCAAGGCUGAGGCGUGAUGACGAGGCACUACGGUGCUGAAGCAACAAAUGCCCUGCUUCCAGGAAAAGCCUCUAAGCAUCAGGUAACAUCAAAUCGUACCCCAAACCGACACAGGUGGUCAGGUAGAGAAUACCAAGGCGCUUGAGAGAACUCGGGUGAAGGAACUAGGCAAAAUGGUGCCGUAACUUCGGGAGAAGGCACGCUGAUAUGUAGGUGAAGUCCCUCGCGGAUGGAGCUGAAAUCAGUCGAAGAUACCAGCUGGCUGCAACUGUUUAUUAAAAACACAGCACUGUGCAAACACGAAAGUGGACGUAUACGGUGUGACGCCUGCCCGGUGCCGGAAGGUUAAUUGAUGGGGUUAGCGGUAACGCGAAGCUCUUGAUCGAAGCCCCGGUAAACGGCGGCCGUAACUAUAACGGUCCUAAGGUAGCGAAAUUCCUUGUCGGGUAAGUUCCGACCUGCACGAAUGGCGUAAUGAUGGCCAGGCUGUCUCCACCCGAGACUCAGUGAAAUUGAACUCGCUGUGAAGAUGCAGUGUACCCGCGGCAAGACGGAAAGACCCCGUGAACCUUUACUAUAGCUUGACACUGAACAUUGAGCCUUGAUGUGUAGGAUAGGUGGGAGGCUUUGAAGUGUGGACGCCAGUCUGCAUGGAGCCGGCCUUGAAAUACCACCCUUUAAUGUUUGAUGUUCUAACGUUGGCCCCUGACCGGGGUUGCGGACAGUGUCUGGUGGGUAGUUUGACUGGGGCGGUCUCCUCCUAAAGAGUAACGGAGGAGCACGAAGGUUGGCUAAUCCUGGUCGGACAUCAGGAGGUUAGUGCAAUGGCAUAAGCCAGCUUGACUGCGAGCGUGACGGCGCGAGCAGGUGCGAAAGCAGGUCAUAGUGAUCCGGUGGUUCUGAAUGGAAGGGCCAUCGCUCAACGGAUAAAAGGUACUCCGGGGAUAACAGGCUGAUACCGCCCAAGAGUUCAUAUCGACGGCGGUGUUUGGCACCUCGAUGUCGGCUCAUCACAUCCUGGGGCUGAAGUAGGUCCCAAGGGUAUGGCUGUUCGCCAUUUAAAGUGGUACGCGAGCUGGGUUUAGAACGUCGUGAGACAGUUCGGUCCCUAUCUGCCGUGGGCGCUGGAGAACUGAGGGGGGCUGCUCCUAGUACGAGAGGACCGGAGUGGACGCAUCACUGGUGUUCGGGUUGUCAUGCCAAUGGCACUGCCCGGUAGCUAAAUGCGGAAGAGAUAAGUGCUGAAAGCAUCUAAGCACGAAACUUGCCCCGAGAUGAGUUCUCCCUGACUCCUUGAGAGUCCUGAAGGAACGUUGAAGACGACGACGUUGAUAGGCCGGGUGUGUAAGCGCAGCGAUGCGUUGAGCUAACCGGUACUAAUGAACCGUGAGG
Molecule: ribosomal RNA, 2894 nt
Filed under: Escherichia coli
Lineage: Bacteria; Pseudomonadati; Pseudomonadota; Gammaproteobacteria; Enterobacterales; Enterobacteriaceae
Description: partial 23S ribosomal RNA
Rfam family: Bacterial large subunit ribosomal RNA
Source: RNAcentral